Molecule: microRNA precursor, 92 nt
Filed under: Branchiostoma floridae (Florida lancelet)
Lineage: Eukaryota; Metazoa; Chordata; Leptocardii; Amphioxiformes; Branchiostomatidae
Description: mir-2060 microRNA precursor family
Rfam family: mir-2060 microRNA precursor family
Source: Rfam by way of RNAcentral
AUUGGUCUCUGUGUGGAUGGUGUUCAGCACCAAGGACAGGUAUAUUGGUCUGUGUGGAUGGUGUUCAGCACCAAGGACAGGUUUGUUUGUCU